GUACACCGGUGUUACAUGGACUGAAAAUCCUCGUGUCGACGGUUCGAUUCCGCCCCUGGGCACCA
RNAcentral lists this transfer RNA (65 nucleotides) under Pseudomonadota bacterium. RNAcentral's name for it is "Proteobacteria bacterium (cold seep metagenome) tRNA-Ser". The record is from RNAcentral. Lineage: Bacteria; Pseudomonadati; Pseudomonadota.